This 1501-nucleotide long non-coding RNA is filed under the name Gallus gallus (chicken). RNAcentral describes it as "lncRNA (ENSGALG00010000401.1)". Lineage: Eukaryota; Metazoa; Chordata; Aves; Galliformes; Phasianidae. The record is from RNAcentral.
GGAGGGGUCAAUGUGGAGUCAAUGUGGAGUCAACGUGGUGGAAAAUUGGAUGAAAAGGGGAGAAAAAGGGGAGAAAAUGGCAAAGAGGAGUCAAAGUGGAGUCAAUGUGGAGUCAAUUUGGAGUCAAAAUGGAUGAAAUGGGGAGAGGUCAACGUGGUGUCAAUGUGGAGUCAAUGUGGAGUAAAAAUGGAUGAAAUGGGGAGAAAAAGGGGAGAAAAUGGCAAAGAGGAGUCAAUGUGGAGUCAAUGUGGAGUCAACGUGGUGUGAAAUUGGAUGAAAAGGGGAGAAAAAGGCAAAGAAGAGUCAAAGUGGAGUCAACGUGGUGUGAAAAUGCAUAAAAUGGGGAGAAAAGGUCAAGAAAAGCGAUGAAAUGGGGAGGAAAAGGGGAGAAAAUGGAGGAAAUGGGGAGAAAAGUUGGGGAAAAUGGAGGAAAUGUGGAGGAAAGUUGGAGGAAAUAUGAAGAAAGGUGGGGAAAAUGGAGGAAAAGGUGGAGAGAAUUGAGGAAAUGGGGGGAAAAGGUGUGGAAAAUGGAAGAAACGUGGAGGAAAUGGAGAGAAAAGUGGAAAUAAAGAGGAAAUGGAGUGGAAGUGAAGUGAAAGUGGAGUGAAAACGAAGAGGAAACGAAGUGGAGUAGAAGAAGAAAUAAAGAAGAGAUGGAGUGAAGAGGAAAUGGAGCAGAAAUAAAGAGAAAAUAAAAAGGAAACAAAGUGGAUAAAAAAAGAAAUGAAGAAAUGGAGUGAAGUAAAGAGGAAAUGGAGUGGAAAUGGAGAAGAAAUAAAGAGAAAACAAAGUGGAGUGGAAGUGGUAGUAAAGAGAACAUAAAGAGGGACUGGAGUGGAAGUGGAGCGAAAGUGGAGUGGAAGUGGAGCGGAAGAGGAAAUAAAGAGGAAAUUGAGUGAAAAUGGAGUGAAUGUGGAGCGGAAGUGGUGGUGAAGAGAAGAUGAAGUGGAGCGAAAGUGGAGCAGAAAUAAAGAGGAAAUAAAGUGGAGCAGAAGAGGACUGGAAGUGGAAAUAAAGAGGAAAUUGAGUGGAAGUGGUGCAAAUGCAAAGUGGAAGUGGUGCAGAACUGAAGAGGAAAUGAAGUGAAAGUGGUGUGAAUGCAAAGCGGAAGUGGUGCGGAAGUGAACUGGAAAUGGAGUGGAAGUGGAGCGAAUGCAAAGCAGAAGUGAAGUGGAAGUGAAGAGCAAAUGGAGUGGAAUUGGAGUGGAAGUGGAGAGGAAAUGGAGUGGAAGUGGUGUGAAUGCAAAGCGGAAGUGAUGCGGAAGUGGAGAGGAAAUGGAGUGGAAGUGGAGCGAAUGCAAAGCAGAAGUGAAGCGGAAGUGAAGAAGAAAUGGGGUGGAAGUGGUGCAAAUGCAAAGCAGAAGUGGAGCGGAAGUGAAGAGGAAAUGGAGUGGAAGUGGAGUGGAAGUGAAGAGGAAAUGGAGUGGAAGUGGAGCGAAUGCAAAGCAGAAGUGAAGCGGAAGUGAAGAAGAAAUGGGGUGGAAGUGGUGCAAAUGCAAAG